Molecule: ribosomal RNA, 434 nt
Filed under: uncultured bacterium
Lineage: Bacteria
Description: partial 16S ribosomal RNA
Rfam family: Bacterial small subunit ribosomal RNA
Source: RNAcentral
AGCGAACGCAGGCGGCAGGCCUAACACAUGCGAGUCGAACGAACCUUUCGGGGUUAGUGGCGGACGGGUGAGUAACACGUGGGAACGUGCCUUUAGGUUCGGAAUAACUCAGGGAAACUUGUGCUAAUACCGAAUGUGCCCUUCGGGGGAAAGAUUUAUCGCCUUUAGAGCGGCCCGCGUCUGAUUAGCUAGUUGGUUGAGGUAAUGGCUCACCAAGGCGACGAUCAGUAGCUGGUCUGAGAGGAUGAUCAGCCACAUUGGGACUGAGACACGGCCCAAACUCCUACGGGAGGCAGCAGUGGGGAAUCUUGCGCAAUGGGCGAAAGCCUGACGCAGCCAUGCCGCGUGAAUGAUGAAGGUCUUAGGAUUGUAAAAUUCUUUCACCGGGGACGAUAAUGACGGUACCCGGAGAAGAAGCCCCGGCUAACUUCGUG